AAUAGAUACCCGGUAGUCCACGCCGUAAACGAUGGAUGCUAGCUGUUUGGAGGUAUCGACCCCUUCAGAAGCGAAGCUAACGCGUUAAGCAUCCCGCCUGAGUAGUACGAGCGCAAGCUUAAAACUCAAAGGAAUAGACGGGGACCCGCACAAGCGGUGGAGCGUGUUCUUUAAUUGGAUGAUAAGCCAAGAACCUUACCCAGGUUUGACAUCCUGCGAAGGACUCCGAAAGGAAUCUGUGCUUUUUUGAACGCAGUGACAGGUGUUGCAUGGCCGUCGUCAGCUCGUGUCGUGAGAUGUUGGGUUAAGUCCCGCAACGAGCGCAACCCUUAUAGUUAGUUGGAUUUUUCUAACUAGACUGCCUCGGUAACGGGGAGGAAGGAGGGAUGAUGUCAGGUCCGUAUUACCCUUACACCUGGGGCUAGAAACGCGCUACAAUGGCCGGUACAAUGGGCAGCCAAAUCGCGAGAUGGAGCUAAUCCCACCAAAGCCGGUCUCAGUUCGGAUUGGAGGCUGAAAUUCGCUCAUGAANCCGGAAUCGCUAGUAACCG
Molecule: ribosomal RNA, 551 nt
Filed under: uncultured bacterium
Lineage: Bacteria
Description: bacterial SSU rRNA
Rfam family: Bacterial small subunit ribosomal RNA
Source: RNAcentral